Molecule: long non-coding RNA, 5499 nt
Organism: Brassica rapa (field mustard)
Lineage: Eukaryota; Viridiplantae; Streptophyta; Magnoliopsida; Brassicales; Brassicaceae
Source: RefSeq, a predicted model, not a curated record
GCCAGACGACUUCCCAUGUAAGUCGUCUGACGAAUAGAUCUGAAAAAAAAUUUGAUUUCAUACCUUAAAUUGGUGAGAUAACUUCCUUAGCACACAUAAGGCUUCUCCAAGCACACAGAAUCUCAAACGAAAGUGACCCACCCAGAAUCGUUAGCUUCUAUGACUUUAUGAACCAUAAAAAAUGUAAAAUCAAAAUCUUGGAUUUUUUUUAGCUCAAUAUGAAGAGAAAUUGAGAGAUAUGUUGUGUUUAGUUCAUAAUAAUAGAAAAAGAAGAAGGGUAACUCGAUUUUGGGAGCAUUAAGAGCUUCAAAUUGGUUGUUCAUGGUGGUUAGGGUAUUGAUGACAAUGGCAAUCUUGUAAUUACUUGAAAAUGAUGAGGGUGACACAGUAAAAAUGUCAUUUUCGAAAAAAAAAUUGAUGGCAUUUUCGUGAAUUAUAUGAACUUGUGUGGUAAAUAGGGCAAAACCAAUUUCUAAAAAAAAAGAGGUUAGUUUUGUGUUUGACUUUAAGUUGUAGGUCAAUUCUACAAAAAAACCCUAAUUUUUAUGUAUUAUUAUUUAUUAUUAUUUAUUUGGUGUAUACAAAUAAUGUUUACGUAUUUUUUUUUGUGUGUUCAUUUACGAAUUUUGUAUAUAAUUAAGCUAAGAUAAAUACAUAAAUCAAAUUCAUAUCUCUUGUUUAUUUACAAUAAUGUUUUGGUAAAUAAAUCAAUACAAUCAUAUUAUUUAUUUUAUAGGGUAUGUAAUUAAAUUUUAGGAUAUUAACAUAGAUAUAUAAUAUAUUUAAUAUAAAUAUUUAUUAUUGAGACUUUCUACUUAUAUGAUUUUAUUAACAUUUGUAUAUUUGUUGUAACAAAAUUAAACCAUUAAUCACAAAAUUUUCAAUGAAGUUUUUUUAAUGCAAAUUUUAAAAUUAAAUUAUUAAGCUCUCAAUACUUUUUCAAAGAAAUUUUUUAAAAUAAGAUAUUUAUAUAUUUUUAUGUGGUAUAUGGUUUAAUUUAAAUGAUAUUAAUAUAUAUAUAUAUAUAUAUAUUUUUUUUUUAUUAUGAAUAUCUGUUAAAUAAGAUGGGGAAAUUUUACUUAUACACUUUUCUUGAUACCACUUUUCACUUAUACCACCACUCAAAGGACAUUUUCAUAAAUACCACAUUCAUUAAUGUAUAAAUGACUAAACUAACCCUGCCUUAUCUUCAGUCUAUCGUCUCCUUCUUCUCUACCGUCGUGAUCCUUCUUCUCUCUCCGUUCGGAUCCACCGUCUCUCUCCGUCGGAUCCACCGUCCUUCUUUUCGAGAUCCAUCGUCUCUCUCCCCGUUGAGAUCCUUCUUCUCUCUUCGUUGAGAUAUGUCGUCAUCUCCGUCGAGAUCCGUCGUCAUCUCCGUUGAGUUCCAUCGUCACUCUCUCUCACGUAUCUGGUGAUAAGCAAUUACGAGAAUCACGAUUCAAAACCUCAAAGAUGUUGGCUCCUCUCCACGAUUCACACUGUUAGAUAGCAAUGAAUUUUGCACAUCUUUGAGAUUGCGUCCGAGGAUUGAUGAAGCAAGAACAGAACCACUAGACAAUCUAAAAGUGAUUAUCCAAUCGGUGUUUUGGUCAAUAAUGUGAAGCAUUUUAUAAAAGAUUAUAAAUGUAGUUUUAUAAGGGUUUAUAAAUUAGAAGUUUGUAGAGACUUAUAAAACAUUGUUUAUUCUUUAUUACUUCUUAUGGUUAAUACAAUGCUUUGAUUUCCUGAUGAAUACAAACAUUUGGUGACCCUAACACAUACUGAUCUUGAUGACAUGGAUUUUAACAGUGUUGUACAAUUAGUUCAACAAAGAUAUAAAAUAAAAAAAAUUUAAUGGGAAUAAGGAUUUGUAGAUUUACUUUUUGCAACAUAUGAUAUAGGAAAAUAACACAUGAAAGAAGAUAAAAAUGAAGAAAAAAGAAAGCUGAAAAGAAAAUAAGAGUUUGUAAAUCAUUUAUAAAACGGUUUGUUAAGUUUAUAAGCUAUUUAUAAAGGUUUAUAAAUUAUUUGUAAGAGUAUCGAAACCAUUUAUAAAGGUUUAUAGAACAAUUAAUAAUGGCUAUAAACCAUUUAUAGCUGUUUAUAAAAAAAUAAUGAAAUUUUAUAAACAAUUUAUAAGGGGUAUGUAUACAAUUUAUAUGGUUUAUAGGUUUAGGAAUCAGUUAGAAAGUCUCUUAAAUAAUUUAUAAGAGUCUCUAAUAAUUAAUGAAGACUUAUAAAAAUCAUUUAUAAGAGUUUGUAAAGUAAUUUAUAAGGGUUUAUAAGGAUAUGUAAAUAAUUAAUAAGAGUUUAUAGAUCAUUUAUAAAAUUUUAUUUAUUUUUUUUAUGAAUUUUAUAAACCUAUUAUAAAGGCUGAUAAAACAGUUUAUAAAGUAUAUAAACUAUUUAUAAAUGUUUAUUACAAAAUUUAUAAAAGUUUAUAAAUAAUUCAUAAGGGGAAUGUAUAUAAUUUAUAAGGUUUAUAUAGGUAUAUACAUGUUUAUAAAUCAAUUGGAGGUCAUUAAAUCAAUUAUAAGAGCUAUAACCAUUUAGAAAGGCUUAUAAAACAAUUUAUAAAGUAUAUAAACUAUAUAUAAAUGUUUAUUACAAAAAUUAUAAAUGUUUAUAAAUAAUUUAUAAGGGGUAUGUAUAUAAUUAUAAGGUUUAUAUAUGUAUAUACAUGUUUAGAAAUCAAUUGGAAGUCUUUAAAUCAAUUAUAAGAGUCUAUAACCAUUUAGAAAUGCUUAUUAAACAAUCUAUAAGAGUUAAUAAAAUAAUUUUAAAGGGUUUAUAAGGGUAUGUAAAUUAUUUUCAAGGUUUAUAUAGGUAUAUACAUGUUAAGAAAUCAACUGGAUGUAUUUAAAUCAAUUAUAAGAGUCUAUAACCAUUUAGAAAGUCUUAUUAAACAAGGUGUUAUAAAAGAAGUUCUUAAACAAGAGUUCAUCGUAUAUAUCUAUAGAACAACAUAUAAACGUGUGAACAUGAGAAGUCUUGUAUUGUGUUAUCCUAUAUUCUUUGUAAGACUGUUACCAAAAUACAUGAAUAUUAUGCUUGGAUAAGGUAUCUUUACACGAUUAAAAGUUAACAUUAUCUUUUUAUUUCGUCAGGCAGUUAGAUAGCAAUGAAUUUUGCACAUCUUCGUGAUUCAUCUGAGGAUUUAUGAAGCUGGAACAGAUCCACUAGACAAUCCAAAAGUGAUUAUCCAAUCGGUGUCUUGGUCAAUAAUGUGAAGCAUUUUAUAAAAGAUUAUAAAUGUAGCUUUAUAUGGGUUUAUAAAUUUGUAAAUUAGAGAUUUGGGAGACUUAUAAAACUUGUUUAUUAUUUGUUACAUCUUUUGGUUAAUACAAUGUUUGGAUUCUCUAAGGAAUACAAACAUUUGGUGACCCCAACGCAUUCAGAUCUUAAUGACAUAGAUUUUGACAGUGUUGUACAAUUAGUUCAACAAGGAUAUAAAAAGAAGAAAAGUUAAUGGGAACAAAAUUUUGUGGAUUUACUUUUUGCAGUAUAUGAUAUAGAGCAAUAACACAUGAAAGAAGAUAAAAGUGAAGAGAAAAGAAAUUUAAAGGGCAAAUAAGAGCUUAUAAAUCAUUUACAAAAGUUUAUAAAACAUUUUUGUAAGUUUAUAAGCGAUUUAUAAAUGUUUAUAAAUUAUUUGUAAGAGUCUCUAAGAUCUAUGGUUCACUUUCUCAGAUCAACCAAUGGGGGUAGAUCUAUGAUUAUUGAUGAAUGUAAAUAAUUUAUAAAUUUAUAAACUAUUUAUAAAAGUUUAUAAAAAUGUUAUGAAAGCAUAUAUUCAAUUUAUAAGGGGUAUUAUAAGAGUUGUAUAGGUUUAUAAAUCAAUUAAAAGAGUCUAUAACCAUUUAGAAAGCUUUAUAAAACAACUUAUAAUGGUAUGUAUAAUAGUUUAUAAGGGUUUAUAAAGGUAUAUAAAUAAUUUAUAAGAGUUUAUAAAAAUAAUUUAUAAAAUUGAUACACCAUUAUAAAAUAAUUUAUAAGGGUAUGUAAAAUUAUUUGUAGGAGUCUAUAAACCAUUUAUAAAGACAUAUAAGAUUUGUAAGUCCGACAAAGGAGGUUUCUUCGUUCGUGGAGCUGAAGCGGUGGGGUCUGAAGCGGUGGAGCAUUGUUCGCUGUCCGAAUGUGCCUCGGAAUCUGCCACGUAUCAUCAUCUCUUUAUAAAACAUGCACAUGUUCUUUAUUUUUAUGAAUUUAAUCUUGUGUAUCAAAGUGUUGGGCUUUAAGACGAAAGACUUGUGCCAAUAAUUUCAGUCCAUGAGGCUUAAAUGAAAAGAAUGUUGACAAAAAAAAAAGAUUUAUAAGGGUUUAUAAAAGAUUUUAAUGGGUUUUGAAGAGUUUGUAUAGGGUUUACAAAAAAAUAUAAAGGUUUUAUAAGACUUUAUCAAAAGAUUUAUAAAUAGUUUAGAGAGUCUUUUUAAGCUGUUAGAGAAAUAUCUAUUCAGCCAAAAAACAUAUCAGAAGAAUCAGGUUAGUGGUAUUUUGAAGUGUUACAACUUUUUAUUUCAUGAAAUCAGGUGUAGAGUGUAUGACAAAGCGUUGUAAGUAUAUUAAGAAAUGAAGCAUUGUUAAAAGAUAGUUGCUUGUUACUAGUACUUAAUCUGAAGGAUGAAUGCUUCUUGAGACAUUAAGAAACAUACAUUCAGAAAGAAGUCAUUAUAGUCUUCUUUGAGUGUGAAUUCAGCUGAAUCAAACCGCCAAGCAAGAGGAGUAGAAGGCAUCAUCAUCAUAGAGCCAUGGCGGAUUGGGGAGCACCAAGUUGAUGAGCUCUUCAAGCAAUCAGUAGACUUGGGAUAUUUUAUUUUGUUUUACAAGAAUGUAUAAAUUGAUUCAUAUAGGUUUAUAAAUAGAUUUGUAAUGCUUUAUAAAAUAUCUACUGCAGUCUAUAAGUUAAUUAUAAAUAUUUAUAAACUAAUUUAUAAAGCUUUGUAAAUCAUUUGAAUCUAGCUCCAAUAGAGUUUGUACUUGCAAAACUCAGUUUUUGUUAGAUGUUACUAACAUGAUCUGAGAAUAUCAAGGCUUUUCCAUAUUUCAUUCUUCUAUAAAAGAAACGAUUGGAACCACACUCAUUUACAUGUCGAACUAAUCUCUUCAACUAUGCAACUCGUAAGAGAAUCUACAAUUGGUUUAGUAUAAGAGAUGUCUGAAGAAAAUGAGAGAGAAGGAUGUAUAAAGAAGCCAACUCUGCAAUUUUUAUAAAGAGUUAUAAAUAUUUAAUUCUUUGAUCAUACAAACCACAUUCUUGUUCAGAGUUCCUCUUGCUUCUUCAAACAGCUCACCAACCUCGUCGAUCUUCAAAAUCUGAGCGCAAGCCAAUCACAUGUUAUUCAUACGCAUCAUCACUCACUUCCAAAAACAAGAUUCAAAAAUAAUAUGCUUUGGUAACUCAACAAACUCAUGCUCCAUCUCCACUGCUUCUAUAGAUAUUAUACACAAACAAGACAUAAAAAAUGAAUCUCAUAUAGUACCAAACAGAACAUUACACUACCAAAACACCAACCUUCCACC